GGUUGAUCCUUGCACCAUGACUGCCACUAGUCUUCUUCUGUUUGUAUCCCUGGGAAGUAUCGAUCACUGUGACACCGAGCUGAGCCUCAGCCCCGGCGGCGUGUAUCAUCGCCACUCUUCCUACUCCGACACCUCUGCCAGUUCAAGCAGAGUGGAGGAGAAGGCAGCCGGGAAAGCACCACAGCCGCCGGAGCAGCAGAUUACCAUGUUCUACAAUGGUCAGAUCUGGGUCUGCGACGUGACGGAGAUUCAGUUAUGGAACAGAGGCGUUGCAGAGAGAACGGAACUCGACGCAUGAAUAUAACUCGUGUCGUGUUUCGGAAGCUUUGGGUUGCUCAUCGCUGAGAGGUGUUGCAGGCGAGAGCCAUCAUAAGCUCGGCCAAGCGGGAGAUGGAGGACGUGGAGGCUCAGAAACAGAGCAGCCGACGACAGGGCUCGUCGUUUCCUCCUCCGGACGCGACGCCGUCUGCGCCGACACGGCCGCCGCCGCUGCUGAAUCGAAGCCUGUCGAUGAAGCGAUCGCUGCAGAGGUUUCUGCAGAACAGGAAGACGAGGGCCGUAUAGUCCUCCCCUUACAGCCAUCAUCACGAAACUGCCAUCUGAACUUGUUUGCUGCACGGUUGUUGUAUUGGCUCUUUGUUCUCCAGUUAAUAUGGACUUUGAUGGAUUCAUGUUCGUGCA
Long non-coding RNA from Musa acuminata AAA Group (dessert banana), 681 nucleotides. RefSeq lists it as uncharacterized. NCBI's taxonomy places the organism in Eukaryota, Viridiplantae, Streptophyta, Magnoliopsida, Zingiberales, Musaceae. The record is from RefSeq and is a predicted model, not a curated record. The transcript is spliced from 2 exons.